CAGCGCCCGCUCUUUCCUUGUGGUGACUAAUGGGGGAAAUUCAGGCAAGCCUGCCUGAGGCCCACUAAUCUCCAUCGGCCAGGAGAAUGCACAUUGAUCAGAUGGCGCCUUCACUCACAGUGUCCCCUGCACCCACCCUGCAAGGAAGCCCCUUCCUCCAUCUCAUUUCGAGCCCUCUUUUACCUACCCCUAUUCCACCCCUCCAAACAAAGCUGUCCUGACCACCUCUUCCCAGAGAGAGCUCUCCUCCCCCUGCGCCUGGGGCAUCUGCAGACUGAAGGCAUAGUGGAACCCUAUGUUCCCAGCGCUGACUGGGAGCUGCGCCCCAAAUAAGUGCUAGGUAAGUAUGGUUGAAACAAAUGAAUGAAUGAAUGAAUGACCACUUUAUUACACAGCAGCAUCAGGAGCCUCACAGAGGUUAGGUCCAAAGUUAGCAAAUAACAUCCAAAGAGCUCAAAGUUUAAAUCAGCCUUGAAACUCCAUCUGGAAGGCGUAAACCUCUCACUAAGUCCAGCAGGACCAUGUUCCUUCCACAAGACCUGUCUCCUCAGAUACCUACCCCCCCCCCAAAAAAAACCUCAGGAGAGGGACCUAGUCCUUCUCCCUCCCCCACCCAGAAUCCCAGAUGUUGGCCCAAGACACGGAGAUGACAGGAGCACUGCAGGGAUUCUCGGGGUUUAUCCCACGUGUUCCCCCCAAAGAACCCACAACUUGAAAUCUUAAAAAUAAGACGCUCUCCAUCCUCUCUCAUUCUCCUCCAAGGGCUGCUUCUCUGUUGCCAUGGCAGCCAGGCCAGGGUCCGGUAGCUCCUUGGAAGGUCCAACAGGCUGAGGAUGAAGCCAUUGAGAGGCACAGAGGAGGCGACAAGGUGGGCAGCAGACACUGGACGCCUGGAGUGAAUGGCCUGUACGCCCAAGUCUUAAAGAACCCUGAAGUACACGGAGAAAUGCUUUCCAGCUUCAGGCAUGAAAAGGGAAGUGCUAUAGGCUAGAGCCCAAAAGUACCAGCCAGGAGGGGACAGCUGUUCCUCUUACCUCAUCUUUCCCCCAGAGUCCAGUGCGUUUUCCCCACCUUUUUAUUGGACAAUUUCCAAACAUAGAGAAAAAUAGAAAGAAUAUACAAGCACUCAUGAAACCUCCAGCUAGAUACAACAAUUGCUAAUCUUUUGCCUGCGUCUCCAUCUACCUAUCUGUAUUUGAAACAUCUGAGAGUGGGCUACAGACAUGGAGACUCAACAGCUUUAGCUUUAGCUGAUUGCUUUAGCAGCACUGUCGGUUAAGUCUCCAACUCUUGGGUUUCAGCUCAGGUCGUGAUCUCAGAGUCCUGAUCUCAGGGUCAUGAGUUCAAGCCCCAUGUUGGGCUCCACACUCAGCACAGGGUCUGCUUACAUUCUCCGUCCCUCUCUCCCUCUACUGCUCCCAUCAUACAUGCACGCAUGCUCUCAUGCUCUCUCUCUCAAAUAAAUAAACACAUCUUUAAAAAAAACAACAACUUGUAACUAACAUUUAUUCUAAGUAAAGAAGCUUUGCAUGACUAGAAAAAUAAGGGAGGGUCAGGGAUUAUAGAGUAAAAUCAUACCAAGCCAAGCCUGAAUUUGUCCUCAGAAACUUCUAAAUUGGAUUCUCAUCACAGAAGAACAAGUAAGCCUUUCAGCUCUGCCAAACAUCUACCCAGGAAGCUUCUAGGUAUAUAUUUAACAGCAAGCCUGCAAGUCGUGUAUUUAUAUUUCCCGAAAUAAUAUUUUGUGAAACUGUGGCUAUUCUACAAAUGUAUUCUGAUCGCAUAGUAGGUGCUUGAAAAGUCCAAGUGCAACCGCCCCUGGGGUGGUACCAAAUCUUCCAGGCUCUUCACCUGGGUCACCUGGGGGCUGACUCAGCUUCGGUUGGCCCCAACCCAGCCUCUUGAGAAUGGCUUCUAUUUACUCAAAGAGGAUCCUUUUGGUCCCACUGGACACCUGCUCUAGCAGUGCUGAGACCUCCUUAGCCACCCAGUCCUCUCUUUUCUUCUUAUCAAAUCCCUAAUCUAUCUGUGGCCAGUAUCACAAGUUAGCUGUUAUUUGUCCUUUGUUUUCUCACCAUGAGUUGGUCUUAUUUCCCCAAGCAGAGCCUAACACCCUCUCCUCUUUCAACAGCUCGAGCUUUUUCAGCUAGAAUUGGUUAUGGACUC
Molecule: long non-coding RNA, 2166 nt
Filed under: Mustela putorius furo (domestic ferret)
Lineage: Eukaryota; Metazoa; Chordata; Mammalia; Carnivora; Mustelidae
Description: lncRNA (ENSMPUG00000031880.1)
Source: RNAcentral